UACGCUUCUGAUAAUACUGUGCAAUAAGGUUUCUCAUACAAGAUUUGUUCCUCUUUUGGGAUAUUGUUUAGAGAAGGAAAAUGAGAAAUUUUUGAUUUACAAACAUAUGCCCAAUGGCGAUUUGACGAGUUCUUUCUAUAUGAAGAAGAAACUAGAGGGUGAUAAUUUACAAUCACUAGAUUGGAUAACGAGAAUAAAAGUUGCAAUUGGAGCUGCAUAGGCUCUAUCUUAUCUGCAUCAUUAAUGUUCUCCGACAAUGGUCCACAGGUAAUUUCUAGCUAAUGAAUCAAUCUCCUCUUUGUCUUUUGUAGAGGAUCCGACAAAAGCAGUUCUGGUUCAUCAACAUGGACAUUUGUGAAUGACGUAUACUGUUUCGGAAAGGUAUUGUUGGAACUGAUAACGGGCAAGAUAGAACUGGAUGGAUCAAAGGAUGAAUCUGCAAUAAAGGAAUAAUUAUAAGCAAGUUUACCUUGUAUAAUUAUAUAUGAGAAGGAGCUUAUAACAAAUAUUGUGGAUCCAUCACUAAUUAUAAAUGAAGAUUUGUUAGAAGAAGUAUGAUCAAUGGCUAUUGUUGCCAAAUCUUGCCUAAAUCCAAAACCAUCUAGAAGGCCAUUGAUGAGAUAUGUUGUGAAAGCAUUGGAAAAUCCUUUGAAAGUCAUAAAUACAAGCUCUGGCAAGUUCAGACCUAUUUCAUCGACAGGUUCUUGGAAUACUACGUUUCUUUGCAAUUUGUGUCAUAGUAGUUCGUCUGAUGCAAGCAAGGAAGGGAUAACCUCUUUCCAUUGAUCGUCCAUUGUCUAUGAGACCACUUUCCAGGGAGAACCUUCCGGAAGCAAACAUUUCCUGAUUGUUUAUCAUUAAUGAUAUGAUGAUAUGGGGAAGGUGGGGAAAAGAUGGUAUAUAAUUUGGUGGGGUUUUCUUUGUUUAUGUUUAGAUUGGUGAUGGUAAUUGAUCAGUUGGGCAUGUUUCUUGGUUUUGGUUUGUAAUUGUUAGAUAUUUCUGGUUUACAAUUCAAUUUGUCUUUUUUGAAAGAAUUUUUUUUUAUUGGA
Long non-coding RNA from Impatiens glandulifera, 1049 nucleotides. RefSeq lists it as uncharacterized. The record is from RefSeq and is a predicted model, not a curated record. The transcript is spliced from 3 exons. Lineage: Eukaryota; Viridiplantae; Streptophyta; Magnoliopsida; Ericales; Balsaminaceae.